AUCCAGUUGAUGAGUCCCAAAUAGGACGAAAUGUGCGUUAUCCUCGAU
This 48-nucleotide non-coding RNA is filed under the name Trichobilharzia regenti. The record is from RNAcentral. Lineage: Eukaryota; Metazoa; Platyhelminthes; Trematoda; Strigeidida; Schistosomatidae.